UUACUUUUUAGAAAAAAUGUAAUUUAGUGAUAUUUUUGGGAACUAAAACAUGGUAUUUUGGUAUUUAUGACAAUUCCUCAAAACUUUAUGAACACACAGUUAAUGAUGACAAAAAAAAAAAAAAAAAAAAAAAAACACAGUUAAUAACUUUGCAGGUGUGUUAAGCAUAUAAAUUAAGCUAUCAUUCACAUAUUCACUUCGUCGUAAAUUAAUGGGCUACUAACAUAUUCACUAUGUAUUUUCACCAUAUAUCCACUUCACCAUGUACCAACUACAAAGUUCAUAAUUCCAUCUAAUCUAU
RNAcentral lists this long non-coding RNA (301 nucleotides) under Capsella grandiflora. RNAcentral describes it as "long non-coding RNA (CGRA_LNC000591)". The record is from RNAcentral. Lineage: Eukaryota; Viridiplantae; Streptophyta; Magnoliopsida; Brassicales; Brassicaceae.